RNAcentral lists this ribosomal RNA (488 nucleotides) under uncultured bacterium. RNAcentral describes it as "partial 16S ribosomal RNA". It matches the Rfam family "Bacterial small subunit ribosomal RNA", at positions 356 to 861 of the family's 1533-position model. The record is from RNAcentral.
GGGGAAUAUUGGACAAUGGGGGCAACCCUGAUCCAGCAAUGCCGCGUGUGUGAAGAAGGUCUUCGGAUUGUAAAGCACUUUCGACGGGGACGAUGAUGACGGUACCCGUAGAAGAAGCCCCGGCUAACUUCGUGCCAGCAGCCGCGGUAAUACGAAGGGGGCUAGCGUUGCUCGGAAUGACUGGGCGUAAAGAGCGUGUAGGCGGUUUACACAGUCAGAUGUGAAAUCCCCGGGCUUAACCUGGGAGCUGCAUUUGAUACGUGUAGACUAGAGUGUGAGAGAGGGUUGUGGAAUUCCCAGUGUAGAGGUGAAAUUCGUAGAUAUUGGGAAGAACACCGGUGGCGAAGGCGGCAACCUGGCUCAUGACUGACGCUGAGGCGCGAAAGCGUGGGGAGCAAACAGGGUUAGAUACCCUGGUAGUCCACGCUGUAAACGAUGUGUGCUAGAUGUUGGGUAACUUUGUUAUUCAGUGUCGCAGUUAACGCGUU